AGGUUCUGAGUUAGCAAUGUGCCCCGGCUUCUAGUCGUCUCUUUGGGACCAACUGGACGAUUUGACCUCAAAUCAGGUAGGACACCCCGCUGAAAUUGACCUCAAUAAGCGGAGGAAAAGAAACUAA
RNAcentral lists this ribosomal RNA (127 nucleotides) under Pluteus pulverulentus. Its description in RNAcentral is "partial 28S ribosomal RNA". The record is from RNAcentral. Lineage: Eukaryota; Fungi; Basidiomycota; Agaricomycetes; Agaricales; Pluteaceae.